AUGGUGGAUAAGGUGGAACAGAUAUGUCUGAACUUGACUGGGUUGUCUGUUUUCUGCUGUUCAAGAGCUGUACAAAACAAACAUAAUAACCCUUCUGUUAAGUUCUUCACUCCUUUUAAACCUCAUCAGGGAAGUGUGAGGAUGUUGGAAUGCAUAAAGGACUUCCUUUGUCUUCACUUUGUCUUGUUCCCUGUGUGCCUGUGCACCCUCUGUUACCCACUGCUUCUCACCAUCUCUGGAGAUUACAUCUGAAAGGAAGAGUAGCUCAAGCAAAGGAAUAUGUAUGCUUAAUGAUUCCUUUUGCUGCUGUUCUUCAAAACUGAGGGCUUUGGUCUCAGUAGGCAGAGGGAAUACAGUUAUCUCCCUAGCAGAAACUCACAAAGCAUUGGCCCAUUUUCAGCAUGGACAUUACUUCAUAUUCAUCUUAAUAGGAAGAAACAGAACAGAAGGUAACCUAUGCUCUGGUAAUGAAGAAUAGUCAAAUACAGACACUAAAUAACUUUGAUAAGUAUUCCUUAAGUCUUCAGUUCCAAAGAAAGAAGGAUAUUAAAAAAACCCACAAACAAAACCAAAAACAAACAAACCAAAAAAGCACUGGUAGAAAAUCAUAGUAAAUUAAAUGUAAGCAGCUGACAUUAUUCUAGUGAUUCUUAACAGAAAAGGUCUUCAGUGUGAAAGAAACUGUGUGGAAUUGAAAUGAUUAAUCAGAAUUGGAAAGAAAUCAUUGGUAUUUUCUAGUUUCAACAGUUCCAUCAAUAAUCUUUUACCAGAGAACUGCCUAAAUCUUAACUUCUGAGAACUUGUGUUUUCUGUAAUUUUAGCUCAGGUUUACCUUUUCUUCACCAAAUUAAAGCAAUAAUAGCUUGUAACCACUGACUGUUAAGAUGAUCAUGAGAGUCUUGGUGAUUUUUAAAACAUUUUUUUCUUUUGUUAUAUUGUCAAAAGCCUGCAUAUUUAACUGCCAGUUUCCUGCACUGGCGUUCAUUUUGCUACAAACCGGAGAGAAGUGAAAUGUUUGUAUCUAGGUUAUCUAGAAUAAAUACAAAUUAUUUGAGAAUUUGGUUUAUGUC
This 1070-nucleotide long non-coding RNA is filed under the name Coturnix japonica (Japanese quail). RNAcentral describes it as "lncRNA (ENSCJPG00005000662.1)". The record is from RNAcentral. Lineage: Eukaryota; Metazoa; Chordata; Aves; Galliformes; Phasianidae.